This 253-nucleotide ribosomal RNA is filed under the name uncultured prokaryote. RNAcentral describes it as "partial 16S ribosomal RNA". It matches the Rfam family "Bacterial small subunit ribosomal RNA", at positions 524 to 776 of the family's 1533-position model. The record is from RNAcentral.
UACGUAGGUGGCAAGCGUUACUCGGAAUCACUAGGCGUAAAGCGCAGGUAGGCGGUUUGGUAAGUCUUUUGUGAAAGCUCCCGGCUUAACUGGGAGAGGUCAAGGGAAACUACCAGGCUAGAGUGUGGCAGAGGAAGCUAGAAUUCCCGGUGUAGCGGUGAAAUGCGUAGAUAUCGGGAGGAAUACCUAUGGCGAAAGCAGGCUUCUGGGCCGUCACUGACGCUGAUCUGCGAAAGCUAGGGGAGCAAACAGG